RNAcentral lists this ribosomal RNA (343 nucleotides) under Pachysoma hippocrates. RNAcentral's name for it is "partial 16S ribosomal RNA". The record is from RNAcentral. Lineage: Eukaryota; Metazoa; Arthropoda; Insecta; Coleoptera; Scarabaeidae.
AAAGUCUGGCCUGCCCUAUGAAUAAUUAUAUUUAAAUGGCUGCGGUAUUUUGACCGUGCAAAGGUAGCAUAAUAAUUAGUUUUUUAAUUGAGAACUGGUAUGAAAGGUUUGACGAGGGAAAGACUGUCUCAAUUUAAUUUUAAUUAGAAUUUUAUUUUUAAGUAAAAAAGCUUAAAUAAUUUUAAAAGACGAGAAGACCCUAUAGAAUUUUAUACGUAUAUAUAUAUAUAAAAAUUUAAGAAUUUUAAAAUUUAAAUAUUUAUAGAAAUAUUUGAUUGGGGCAAUCGAAAAAUUUAAUGAACUUUUUUUAUAUUUAAACAUUAAUUUAUGAAUAGAUGAUCCA